AUUGAACGCUGGCGGCAGGCCUAACACAUGCAAGUCGAACGAGUGGCGGACGGGUGAGUAAUGUCUGGGAAACUGCCUGAUGGAGGGGGAUAACUACUGGAAACGGUAGCUAAUACCGCAUACCAUCAGAUGUGCCCAGAUGGGAUUAGCUUGUUGGUGGGGUAACGGCUCACAAAGGCGACGAUCACUAGCUGGUCUGAGAGGAUGACAAGCAACAAUGGAAUGGAGACACGGUCAAGACUCCGACGGGAGGCAGCAGUGGGGAAUAUUGCACAAUGGGCGAAAGCCUGAUGCAGCAAUGCCGCGUGUAUGAAGAAGGCCUUCGGGUUGUAAAGUACUUUCAGCAGGGAGGCGUUACCCGCAGAAGAAGCACCGGCUAACUCCGUGCCAGCAGACGCGGUAAUAC
Molecule: ribosomal RNA, 406 nt
Filed under: uncultured bacterium
Lineage: Bacteria
Description: partial 16S ribosomal RNA
Rfam family: Bacterial small subunit ribosomal RNA
Source: RNAcentral